RNAcentral lists this ribosomal RNA (509 nucleotides) under uncultured bacterium. Its description in RNAcentral is "partial 16S ribosomal RNA". It matches the Rfam family "Bacterial small subunit ribosomal RNA", at positions 28 to 506 of the family's 1533-position model. The record is from RNAcentral.
GACGAACGCUGGCGGCGUGCUUAACACAUGCAAGUCGAACGAAGAGCGAUGGAAGCUUGCUUCUAUCAAUCUUAGUGGCGAACGGGUGAGUAACGCGUAAUCAACCUGCCCUUCAGAGGGGGACAACAGUUGGAAACGACUGCUAAUACCGCAUACGAUCUAAUCUCGGCAUCGAGGAUAGAUGAAAGGUGGCCUCUACAUGUAAGCUAUCACUGAAGGAGGGGAUUGCGUCUGAUUAGCUAGUUGGAGGGGUAACGGCCCAUCAAGGCGAUGAUCAGUAGCCGGUCUGAGAGGAUGAACGGCCACAUUGGGACUGAGACACGGCCCAGACUCCUACGGGAGGCAGCAGUGGGGAAUCUUCCGCAAUGGACGAAAGUCUGACGGAGCAACGCCGCGUGAGCGAUGACGGCCUUCGGGUUGUAAAGCUCUGUUAAUCGGGACGAAAGGCCUUCUUGCGAAUAGUGAGAAGGAUUGACGGUACCGGAAUAGAAAGCCACGGCUAACUACGU